RNAcentral lists this unclassified non-coding RNA (1260 nucleotides) under Hevea brasiliensis (rubber tree). The record is from RNAcentral. Lineage: Eukaryota; Viridiplantae; Streptophyta; Magnoliopsida; Malpighiales; Euphorbiaceae.
GAGCUACUAAUCUAUAAGUAAUGAAAAAGCAUUCCAUUCGCCAACUUUAUAUCUUUGUUAAAAAUGUAUAAAUACAUAAAGUCAGAAGAAGAAGAGAUAAUCUCUUAUACUAUAUAUGUACCAGAGCAAAGAUCGAUUUUCGUGUGGGAAUAGUGCUUACUUUACUGAAAGCUUAGUAACACCCUUUGCCAUGUAUUGCAGUUUCUUUUUCUUUUGUUAGUUACCGCCCCAUGAAUUCUUCAAAGCAGGCUAUCUCCGACAAAGACGAUGAUGCCAUGCUAGAUCACACAAGGUGCGAAGCCUUGACUAAUUCUGUAACAUUGGGGCGUAGCUGCUAUUUCACCGGGAGUGUAGGGCUCUUGUAGCUCCUUUGAUUGAUUAAGAUGAAAACUUCACGAUAGUAUAGGCUAAUGAUUCCAUUUUUGAUAAACAUGUGAUUCGCAUCUUGCUUUCAAAACAAAACAUUUGCUAUUGUAGCCGUAAAUUUGGGUAGCCGAUGGCCUGUGAUAAGACUGGAAUAUGCAGCAAAUGUCAUUUUUAAUGUAUUGAAAGAAAAAAAAGAAAGAAAAAAGAAAGAAGAGGAAGAAUCCAGCCCACUAGUAGUACUCAUCCCAGUUUCUCUCCUUGUGGGUGAAGCAGGGAACGGAACAAGCAAUCAAGUCAGCCAGGUCGGGGUCAUUUCCUACCUAGCCUAAGAGUAGACUAAGAGCAAUCCCUUAAAUAGGAUCUUCCAUCCCUAAAAGCACAUUCCCCUCCUCGCUCAGGAAAGUCAGAAAUGGAUAAAACUUCCUUGUCUUAUUCUGAUUCACUUGCAGAAAGCUCCCCAACAGUAGGAGCAUCAAUCCGAUUUAUCUAAAUAGACGUCCAUUUUGUCGAUACAGUUUAUGGAAAUACGGGAAUGGACAUUUGAAAACAUAUGUCAGUUCCUUUGCCCGAGAUUGGACAGUCAAAGAAAGGCUAACCCCGUCUUAAGUUCAGAACCAUGCCUUUAUCCUGCAUUACAUCGGUGUAAACUUCUGUUAUUUGGCCUUUUUGCCCAACUCUUAGGACUUUUGCGAUCGAGCAACCUAUGAAGAGGUGCGGACUUUGAAUAAAAGUAGUAUAACAUGUUAUAUGCAUUUUAUUCAGAAAAUGAAUAUACGUUGUCUCCAACACUGCGUAGCUUCCAUCACUUUGAUGGGGGGGUGAGCAUCAUCGAGGGACGUUCCCCCCUACUACAAGGUCUUUGGGGGUAUCCCCUCCACCUACUCAUCAUGGGGC